Molecule: long non-coding RNA, 1294 nt
Filed under: Rattus norvegicus (Norway rat)
Lineage: Eukaryota; Metazoa; Chordata; Mammalia; Rodentia; Muridae
Description: long non-coding RNA NONRATT023536
Source: RNAcentral
CAGAGAGGGAGCCCUUCUUCCCAUGGCCUGCCUCAGUAUCCUCCAGAACUUGUGGUGGAUAUGCACAGGUGCAUGCAUAUAUGUGUGUCCCCCUGCCAUGGCAUUGCAGGAUAUGUGAUUGGGAGCUCAUGUGCACCCACAUAUCCAUCCCAUGAGCAGGUGAGUGAUACCUCCUUAGGGCUGUUUGUAUCUGUGGACUGCCUUGCCCUCUGCCUGGUUCUGGGGUCUCUAGGCGUUACUCAUCUGGGAUCUCUGAAGACUUGACCCGUAUUUCCAAGACCCUACAACUCCAGCCUUGCCCUGUGACAUUGUCAAGGAUCUCCACAGAGGUGACUGUCGCCUAUCCCCAACCACACCAGUGAUCACUCUUCAGAAAGUGACUCUUGGCAAAACUGAGGGAAAUGGCUUCCUGAUGAGAUGGACCUGGAUGGGGAAGCACCUUUGAGCUUGUAACCUAGCAGCCAGGGCCAGUGAGAGGCCACUCCUGCCUCAGUUUCUUAGAACAGUGUUGCUAUCGAGUCUUAGGGUUAAAUGCCUCUUGUGUGAGAUGAUUGGGCCCCUGGAAAAUGUUCAAUUAAAUGGUGACUGUAUAUAGUGAGAAAGAAAGAAAUUAUGGGGAAAAGAUGUCUGUAGUUGUUGUGUUCCCCAUGGCAUCUCACCUCAGAGACCCUCACGCCCCACCCCCAUGGCCUACUCAUCCCAGGCCAUAGAGCUACGGUAUCUUCAGCCAGACUUGGGGUUUCUCUUCUUAUGAGAGAAGGGGGAAGGGUCAAGAGGAAUGCACAGGUUUGGAAAGACAGUAGAUUUCUGGUCCCAGAGAGAUUGGGGAACCUAGUCCUUCACACGUGUUGACUUGCAGUUCAAGGGGAGAUUUAACUGGCGACUGUGUCUCCAGAAACGUACCCCUGCCCUUACGUACGGUCUGCCUUCUGUGAAACAAGAACAGCCUGCCGUCCCUGUGGCCCUUGUACCAGUUGGCCUGCUUCUGGGUUCCAGGCACUGAGGAGGUGUGCCGGCCCCUCUGAGGCAGUAUGUCACUUCCUGCUUGGAGUUGCCUGGGAAGGACUCUCCUUUUCCCUGUAGUUCUGUGUUUCCUUUCCAGGUGACAAGAUCAUAGGUUACUACUUUGGCCACUUCCUGCUUCCCAAGGUAGAGAUUAUCAGAAGACAUCAGAGACUCAGAGAGGCACCUGUCUCCUAAAAGACGCUGAUGCUGGAGAAACUUGGGGUAGUAAAAUGGGUGCUAAAGGAUUUACUAAUAAACUCGCUUGGAAAAUAUUAAGUUACACAAACCU